Molecule: ribosomal RNA, 468 nt
Filed under: uncultured bacterium
Lineage: Bacteria
Description: partial 16S ribosomal RNA
Rfam family: Bacterial small subunit ribosomal RNA
Source: RNAcentral
GACGAACGCUGGCGGCGUGCUUAACACAUGCAAGUCGAACGGAAAGGCCCUGCUUUUGUGGGGUGCUCGAGUGGCGAACGGGUGAGUAACACGUGAGUAACCUGCCCUUGACUUUGGGAUAACUUCAGGAAACUGGGGCUAAUACCGGAUAGGAGCUCCUGCUGCAUGGUGGGGGUUGGAAAGUUUCGGCGGUUGGGGAUGGACUCGCGGCUUAUCAGCUUGUUGGUGGGGUAGUGGCUUACCAAGGCUUUGACGGGUAGCCGGCCUGAGAGGGUGACCGGCCCCAUUGGGACUGAGAUACGGCCCAGACUCCUACGGGAGGCAGCAGUGGGGAAUAUUGCGCAAUGGGCGGAAGCCUGAUGCAGCAACGCCGCGUGCGCGAUGACGGCCUUCGGGUUGUAAACCGCUUUCGCCUGUGACGAAGCGUGAGUGACGGUAAUGGGUAAAGAAGCACCGGCUAACUACGUG